AUGAACGCUGGCUACAGGCUUAACACCUGCAAGUCGAGGGGAAACGACGGGGAAGCUUGCUUCCCCGGGCGUCGACCGGCGCACGGGUGAGUAACGCGUAUCCAACCUGCCUCUGACUGAGGGAUAACCCGUCGAAAGUCGGCCUAAUACCUCAUGGUAUCGUCUGCGGGCAUCCAACGACGAUUAAAGAUUUCAUCGGUCAGGGAUGGGGAUGCGUCUGAUUAGCUUGUUGGCGGGGUAACGGCCCACCAAGGCUACGAUCAGUAGGGGUUCUGAGAGGAAGGUCCCCCACAUUGGAACUGAGACACGGUCCAAACUCCUACGGGAGGCAGCAGUGAGGAAUAUUGGUCAAUGGGCGAGAGCCUGAACCAGCCAAGUAGCGUGCAGGAAGACGGCCCUAUGGGUUGUAAACUGCUUUUAUGCGGGGAUAAAGUGAGGGACGUGUCCCUCAUUGCAGGUACCGCAUGAAUAAGGACCGGCUAAUUCCGUG
Molecule: ribosomal RNA, 490 nt
Filed under: uncultured bacterium
Lineage: Bacteria
Description: partial 16S ribosomal RNA
Rfam family: Bacterial small subunit ribosomal RNA
Source: RNAcentral